ACGAACGCUGGCGGCAUGCCUAACACAUGCACGUCGAACGAGACCUUCGGGUCUAGUGGCGCACGGGUGCGUAACGCGUGGGAACCUGCCCUUAGGUUCGGAAUAACUCCCCGAAAGGGGUGCUAAUACCGGAUAAUGUCUUCGGACCAAAGAUUUAUCGCCUUUGGAUGGGCCCGCGUUGGAUUAGCUAGUUGGUAGGGUAAAAGCCUACCAAGGCGACGAUCCAUAGCUGGUCUGAGAGGAUGAUCAGCCACACUGGGACUGAGACACGGCCCAGACUCCUACGGGAGGCAGCAGUGGGGAAUGUUGGACAAUGGGCGAAAGCCUGAUCCAGCAAUGCCGCGUGAGUGAUGAAGGCCUUAGGGUUGUAAAGCUCUUUUACCCGGGAUGAUAAUGACAGUACCGGGAGAAUAAGCUCCGGCUAACUCCGUG
Molecule: ribosomal RNA, 432 nt
Filed under: uncultured bacterium
Lineage: Bacteria
Description: partial 16S ribosomal RNA
Rfam family: Bacterial small subunit ribosomal RNA
Source: RNAcentral